Molecule: transfer RNA, 72 nt
Filed under: Homo sapiens (human)
Lineage: Eukaryota; Metazoa; Chordata; Mammalia; Primates; Hominidae
Description: tRNA-Tyr (anticodon GTA) 9-1 (TRY-GTA9-1)
Rfam family: tRNA
About the family: Transfer RNA (tRNA) molecules are approximately 80 nucleotides in length.
Source: RNAcentral
UCUUCAAUAGCUCAGCUGGUAGAGCGGAGGACUGUAGAUUCUUAGGUGCUGGUUUGAUUCCGACUUGGAGAG